RNAcentral lists this long non-coding RNA (373 nucleotides) under Phasianus colchicus (ring-necked pheasant). RNAcentral describes it as "lncRNA (ENSPCLG00000006504.1)". The record is from RNAcentral. Lineage: Eukaryota; Metazoa; Chordata; Aves; Galliformes; Phasianidae.
GGCUGGGUUGUGGGGAGCUACAGGAGGACAAGCCCUGCUUCCCAUGACCAGCUGGAGCAGGAAAUCCACACAGGCAAUUGCUCCCGCUUUGCUCAGCUCCCAACGGAUUCACAAGCGCUGCUACAAAAUUGAACUUGUUAGGAGCUCACCAGGGGUAUUUCCAGUGUAAUUCAGGUCUUUGCCUGAAGGCUCUGCGUUGACAUCUCAGAAUCUCAGCCAUACCUCCACAGAAACCAGGAACUGCUAUCUGAUGAUGCGAAGCAACACGGGCUGAAAAUCUGCUCAGAAGAGCAAGUGGUGAAGAGCUGUUAUUGGAAGCCUUCUUCUCUUACUGCAGUAGUAGACUGAAGAAUAAAAUAAACAAAAAUAAUCA